Portunus trituberculatus (swimming crab) is the source of this 1661-nucleotide long non-coding RNA. RefSeq lists it as uncharacterized. The transcript has 8 exons. NCBI's taxonomy places the organism in Eukaryota, Metazoa, Arthropoda, Malacostraca, Decapoda, Portunidae. The record is from RefSeq and is a predicted model, not a curated record.
AGGCGGGAAGUGUGACGCCUCUGUCCUGGAGGAUACGGUGAGUGGUGUGUCCCUCCCACCACCACCACCACCACCACCACCACUACUAUGUGAAAGGUGUUGGAGCAAUCUUGGGUUCACAAUACACCAGGACACAGCGCGUCACCUGGAGGAACACACCCACUCAACACAACCUGCUGGCUUCAACACACGUGCCCGCUGCUGCUGAGUGCCUUCCUUCCUUCCUUCCUUCCUUCCUUCAUCAUGUGUGACGUCAGGUGUGGAGGAGGUUGUCGUCCUGAAGGAGGCCUUGACAAGGACUCCAACACGGAUCUCUGUAAUGACCUCACUCACCACCACGCAUCUCUCAGUCGUGUUGUCUUCCAGUCAAGCCACCACCACCACCACCACCACCACCACCACCACAACCCUCUCCAGCGUGAUCACAGCCUCGGUAUAUCAUUCAAGUGGAAGCAAAUGAGACUUAAAGACUUUCACUUCAGAGCAACUAAAACUCACUCCACACCCUGCAAAUAAAGAGUUGACGAUCCAAAGGCCUGACUCCACAGUGAUAAUGAGUCUCUCUACUAUCACUACGCCUUCACUGACAACGACCACUACCAACACCCCUGCCUCGCCACCGCUGCAACAUCAAGGAAGGACUCUGCCUUGCAUCACACCAACACACUGCGUACUCUUAACGCCGCCGCUGAGUGGGUGAUAGCGAGGAGUUGGUGAUCCAAAGGCCUGACUACAGCGAACCCCCGACUCCUGCACCAUCAGGAAGGGACUUUGGCUUCCCACGGCCUUCACAGACCCUUCUACCGCUACCGUCGUGUUACUGCCGCUGAGGGACUGCCCGGCAAACACCUACCACCAUUACCAUCACCACUGCUACCGCCGCCGCCGUCGUCGUCGUCGUCCAGCGAGAGAUUCAGCUUCGCGUCGCACACAUUCUGCCACUCACCUGCCGCUGCCGUCACCACCACCACCAAGGAUUCUGCAUGGCACCUUGACCCUGCGCUGCUGUCACCUACUGGUACUCGUGGUGGCGGCCAGAGGGGGAAGAGUUGCGGGUUGGUGUGGCAGUAGUCUCGCUCAUUGUGGGUGGUGUAUGUACUUGGACAGGUGUGGUGUUGUGGUGCAUUAAUCCAUUGUAAUAAACUGUCGUCACUGCCUUUCGCUCAUUGUGGGUGGUGUAUGUACUUGGACAGGUGUGGUGGUGUGGUGCAUUACUCCAUUGUAAUAAACUCGUCACUGCCUUUCGCUCAUUGUGGGUGGUGUAUGUACUUGGACAGGUGUGGUGUUGUGGUGCAUUACUCCAUUGUAAUAAAUUGUCUUCACUGCCUUUCGCUCAUUGUGGGUGGUGUAUGUACUUGGACAGGUGUGGUGUGGUGCAUUACUCCAUUGUAAUAAAUUGUCUUCACUGACUUAUUGUGUCGUCUCUGUACUAAGAACUGCUGUGUCACUAGUGAAUCAUAAAUUUUGAAGAAAUCUUGAUUGUUUUGGUAGAUUUCCUUUCCUGGGAAAAUUUGUGGGUGGUUUCAGUGAGUAGUCGCCUCGAGCUGGCUUAGGAGACUGUCUGACACACCAAUAUUGCCUCCAUUAACCGGUUACCUUCACUCACUCUAAACAAUAAUACGGCAGAAAUAAAAUGCUAAUUAAUAAAAAUGCCAAUUAAU